RNAcentral lists this long non-coding RNA (11044 nucleotides) under Gallus gallus (chicken). The record is from RNAcentral. Lineage: Eukaryota; Metazoa; Chordata; Aves; Galliformes; Phasianidae.
CAGACCCCUCAACAGCUUUGUUGCCCUCCUCUGGACACGCUCCAGGGUCUCAAUGUCUUUCUUACAGUGAGGGGCCCAACGAUGAUCAACACCAUGUGAUAGCAACCACAGCUGUUGCCGAAUCCUUUAAGGGGGCUGUGACCUGGUGGCUUACAGCCUGAAUGUGCUGUGCCAAGUUUCAAUAGGAGGGGAUGAGACUUGGGGCAUAACUUUCUAAUGCUAUUGCUUGACUCACACUGAGAGGAAACUGGACACACAGCUAACUCCAGACUGAGGACAUGUUAAAAUGUAUACCUCCAAAUUGCCUUUCAAUAUUGAUCAUGUCUGUAAGUCUAGUCCCAGGCCAAGAGUGUUAAAAAAGUAGUAUUUCUUCACCUUCUGGCUUAGAAACUCUAUAGCUUGCCAGUAACCAUUUUUCCAAUCACAGUUGAAUUUCUCUGACUCCCAGCUACAGACCAGAACAAAAAAAACAAGGCAUGUUCUAAAAGGUUUGGUGAACAUAAUAUGCACAAUUAAAGUCAGGAGAAUUUGAGAUUUUAAAACAUGCAUGUAUGCUUUGGGUUGGAAAUACAAUGCCUAAUGACUCUUCUCUUUUGUAAUGGCUCAGAUCUUUUGUGGUACAACAUAGUUAUUACAAACAGCUCGAUCAGUCGUAAACCAGUAACUGAUCAGUGGGAUUGGUCGAGUUCAGAAGACCAGUGUGAAGGAUAAUGCAAUCAGGUUAAACACUAAUUAUGUAAGGACUUGCUGUCAGUUUUUCCCUAAAGCAUUUGCAAAUUCAGCAUCACUGGGGAAGAUUAACGUGUGUUAAAGGAAAUACAAGAAGAUUUCUUAACACUCUGUUAACUGCAAGAUGCUUUGCCUUAAGGAAGUUGAACACGCAGGUGGGCACUGGGAAUCUCAUUUGACUGUGGAAGCCACAGGUGUAAGUUAUAAUCAGCCUAAGCAAGGAUUUAUUUGGGGUGGGUGGUGGCAGCAGCCUUAAUCUGGUGUGAAGAAUUAAAGGAAUACAUCUACAGGGUAUUGGGGUGCUGUAGAAUCAGGUCCUAUCCUAGUAACUCAGUCAUAAGUGGGGUACUGAGUAGAGGCUUUCCUUCUGUUUUACUCAAACCACAGUUUUGGUCUCUUCAGACCUUACCACGUGGCUUUUGUGGCUGUGGUAUUAAACAAGUAUAUGUUUUGGCUGGUAAGGAGUGAUGGAUUGGGCCUCUUGGUGAAGAGGUGUUGAAGGGAGUUGAGGCUGAGGGGUGGACUUGGGCUAAACUCAUCUCUGUGCACCACUGGUAAACAUAGGAGUCCUCUGGGACCUUAUGGGGUGGAUGUGGGGGGACUCAGCCCUGGCCUGGCUGGUGCUGAACUGAGACCUGGGGUACAUGGAGCCAUUAGUUCCAUUUGCUAGAGUCGAUGAAUCUCACUCCUUGCCACACAGAAAAUAACAUGAGCUGGAGCAAGAGCUCUGCUUUAGAGUGCUGGGAAAUAAAUACCCAGGGUGGUGCUUGCAUGACUGCCCCUUCGAGUGUGGCUAUGAUCAGUGGUGUGCUGACUAGUGGACUAGAAACUGGCUGCAGGAUCAAACCCAGAGAGUGGUGGUCAAUGGCUCAAUGUCUGGAUGGAGAUCAGUGACCAGUAGUGUUCCUUAGGGAUCAGUACUGGGAUCAGUACUCUUUAAUGUCUUCAUCGGUAACAUUGUCAACAGGAUUUUGAUGCACCCUCAGCAAGUUUGCAAAGGACACCAAGCUGUAUGGUGUAGUGGAUGCUCCUGAAGGAUGAGAUGCCAUUCAGAGGGAUCCAUACAGGCUCAAGCAGUGGGCCCGAGAGAACUUCAUGAGGGUCAACAAAUCCAAAGGUAAGGUCUUGCACCUGGGUUAUGGCAACCCCCACUACAUUUACAAGCUGGAAUAGGAAAAGAGGGAGCAUAGCCCUGCCAGAAAAGGAUUUAGGGGUACUGUGGUAGAUGGCAUCUGGACGUGAGUCAGUAGUGUGCCCUUGCAGCCUAGAAAGUCAACCGUAUCUUAGGUUGCAGCAAAAGAAGCAUGGCCAGCAGGGCAAGGCAGGUGAUCCUGUCCCUUGCUCUAUGCUGGUGAGGCCUCUCCUAGAGUACUACAUCCAAAUGUGCAGUCCUCAGUACAGAGGAGACAUGGACGUUGAAUUGAGUCCAGAGGAAAAUAAUCCAAGGGAUGGAAUGCUUCCCCUACAAGGACGGGCUGAGAACUGGCACUGCUCAGUCUGGAUAUGAGAAGGCUCCAAGGUGACCUGAGAAGAGCUCCCUUCUCAAGGGAGCUCUUAAGAAGAAGGAGACAGAUUCUUUAGUAGGAUCUGUUGUAAUGGGACAAGGGGAAAUAGUUUCAAACUAAAGGAAGGGAGAUUUGGCUUGGAUAUAAAGAAAAAUUCUUUUACAGUGAGGAUGGUGGGGCACUGGAAUGUGCUGCUUAGAGAUAUGGUAGAAGCCCCUUCCCUGGAGACAUUGAGGAGGCUGGACGGGGCUCUGAAUAACCUGAUCUAGCUGUAGGUGUCCCUCUUCAGUGGAGGGGAGUUGGACUAGAUGAGCUUAAAAGGUCUCUUCCAUUAAGUCAGUACACAUGCUGAACAGCCUGCCAGGUGGCAGGUGUGUGAUUGCUGCAUGAUCAACAGCCGAUCACCCAAUGGGAGGCACACAUGCCAUUGGCCCUGAGUAACUGAAGGUGCAUGAGAGCAGAAUGAAGAGGAUAAAGCCUGAAGAGUUCAGUGGUAGAACAGAGACAAUCCUCCACUGAACUGCAGCUGUGCAGAUCAGUGAUAUGUCUUUGACUGACCUGCAACCUCCUGCAAACCAAUGGGAUACUGCUAGAUCCAUGGGGGUGAGUAUCCCUGCUCUAUAGCCAGUUUGCUAGAAUUCCUCCCUUUACUGUUGCUAACUUUGCCAUGUUUCCCACAUUCCUUAACUGCUUAGAAUUUGUCAUAAACUAGCUGGAUGACAUUUGACCUCAUCUGUGUCUUAAUCUCACUCUAGAUUUAUCAUGAACCAUCUCCUCCAACAACUGGAGCAAGACACUGUGUUAUUCGACGCUUCAUCACAGGAAUCUCUGUUCCUGUCGUUGCAGAAGUGGGACUGAUGUUUGAGGUUGUGGUGCUCAGAACUUCCCCAGGGGCUGGAGAGACCUGUAUAUCUAUAUACAUGCAUCUCAGAUCAUUAAACUUCACCAGAGAGCAGAACUCAAGGAAGAAAACCAAUUACUUCACUAUAAGCGCUGAAAGCUGAUACUUCUGUCUCUUCCCCAACAACCCUAAGAGAUAUGGCUCCAAGAAGCACCUCCAAUGCUCAAAAAUACACAUGGAGGGACAACAGUGAAGCAUAUGGUUGCCAGGAAGCUGGGGGUCAGCGCCACAGAGGUUACAAGGUACAGUUAUCUUACCUGAUGCGGUUCAAAUCCUUGUUGGAUAAAGAGGCUGUUAGCCAGGCUUAAAACAUAGUCUUUGCCAAGGUUUUGUAGUUGUAAAAGCAGUGCAUGGAACGCUUCGUGGUUAAGAUUCCCAUCUGUGUUGCACUAGGAAUAUUUCAAACACACCAAUUACAAGUAUUCCUCAGUAUAGCUUUGGUUGUUCAUUUGCAUCCUCAUUAGAUUGCAGCGUAGGGCUAGUUCCCACUGUAAUUAUAUUUAAAUUCAGCUAACCUAAGCUUUGUAACCUGAUCUUCCUUCUGGUGGGGGCUUUGUAUUUGACUUUAUGGAGGACUUGGCUGAUUACAAGGGAACACCUUCAAUCAGGCGUAGUAGACCAGGCAGAUGUUGUGCAUGGGAUCUUGACUCCCUCCUGUGGCAGGCUGUGGUGCUUUACAACUAAUAGGCUACUGUGGAGUGAAAGGACUCUUGUACUACAAAAGACGUACCAGAGAGGGGGAAGACUCUCUUUCCUGGCUUAGUUCAGACUUGUUUUCGGGCACUGCACCUUCAAGCUCAGAUUCAAGGCUUGUAGUUCCUGUGGCAUGGCUGACGUGGAGAACCUGCAGUUGAAGAGGUCAAAUUAAUGGCAAUUUUAACUGGGAUAAAGGCAUUUUCCUUGUUUGAAAGAUUUACUGGGCUGUCCUGGAUAAGUGAUGUAGAUUUAUUAACUAUCAUAGAAAGGUUUGGGUUGGAAGGGACCUCAAAGCCCACUCAGCCCCAACCCCAUGCUGUGGGCAGGGAUGCCACCACCAGCUCAGGUUGCCCAGGGCCCCAUCCAACCUGGCUUUGAGCGCCUCCAGGGAUGGCGCACCACAGCUUCUCUGGGAAGCCUGUGCUGGUGCCUCAUUGCCCUCUGUGUAAAGAAUAUAUGCCUAACAUCUUACCUAAAUUUCCGCUCUUUUAGUUAGACACCAUUCCCCCUUGUUGAGAGUACUCGAUCUCCAUUGCUUUCCUAAACUAAGCAAGAGUCACUCAGAACCUCAUAAGGAGAAUGAGUUUCCCUUGGCAGCAGCUGACCUGUGGCAAUAUUAUAAUACAAUGGAUGAAGAUCCACCAGGACACAGCCAGAGCCAGCUACUGCCUUAUGCCACAUAUACCUUAGGAGUAUUGGUCACUUACUGCUCUCAGAAACAAAUAAGAAAAGAAAUAAAAGAUCUCAGAGCAUACAGCUUGCACUGCAGGGAGUAAAAGGCAUGGUGACCAGAGGAACAGACUUCUGCAUGCCCACCCUGUACCCCCAGGCUCCGUGUGCUCUGUAGGUGAGACAUGUUGAAUCGUUUGAAUGUCACAGUUGAUAAGUGAGCAGGGAUCACAGCACACCAAGCACUGCUCUCAAGGCAGCAGUUGAGCUUGUGUUUAUCUUUGUCUCCUAAGCACACAUGUUGUGCUGCAAAGCCCAGCAUUGCCACUGGGGGAACAGCAGGCUAUGUGGAAGUAUCUCAGAACAUUUCAGCAGUACUUACUUCUUCUAUCUGAGCAGCAGUGUUGUUUCGUGCCCCUAGAAGGAUCAGGCCAAGGGAGGUAGAGAUGCUCAUUGGAGAGAAGACAAUGUUUUGGCCUUUUGCUGUUCUGUUGAGUUUAUUGUAGAGAUCAAGGCAAAACUCAAUAAUCAUUCUAGAAAUGGAGCCCAUUGUGAAGCCUGCAGCUUACUGGGAGCAAAAAGGGAAAGGAGAAAUGUGAAUCAGCUGAUUGCUUAUCUGUAUCAUACUGUGAAGUAUCUGUCCACCCUAAAAUCAUCCCAUAGAUGGUUGCUAAAUAGUAGAAGUGUGCUGAAUUCUGAGUUUGAAAUAGCUGAUUUUGCACACAUCUAUUAAUUCACACUCAUGUGGAUACAGCAGGAUCUGGAAAGGGGCCCCAAUACUCAUACCAUAUGAGAAUUCCUUAGAGAGAAUUGUUUUUCCAUCUUAUCCCACAGUGUAUCUGAUUCCUUCCAAAAGAGAGUUUCCCGUGAUCUGUCUUACUUGUUCUUAUUUGUAAGCAAAAGGUUGUGGUAUUUAAAUCAGUCAGCUGUGGAUUUCCUUCUACAAACUAGUUUAAUGUGUGUCAUCGCAUCAGUUCUUUCCUCUUGUAACAACAUGAUUAGAGACAGAUUGGGGUGACAGAAACUACACGGGCAUCUAACCACAUCUGGUAACCUGAGCUGCAGUGUGAAGGAUUCAAACAACAGAUUCAUGAAAAUAAAAUUACUAGUAAUUAUUUUCAUGUAUGAAGAAGGAACGUAAACAGCUAUGAAUGCUACUACCUAUGGAAACAUGCACUGUUUGCAGUAUACUUCAUGUCUCCUCAUUGAUUUGAUAGGAACCACUGAUUCAGAAUGGAUAACGAAUGGCAAUUUCACAACGAAGCAAUAGCUCAGCAGCCCCAGAAAGUCUGUAAGCUUCCUGUUCAAUGGCAGGACAAGAUCUGUCUCAUUCUUUUCUCUUGUACUGUAAAUACAGCAGUCUGAUGCCUUUCCUAUGGGUCAUUAAAUCCACUCUGGUAAGAAGAAUUUGGGACUAAGUUUCAGCUUGGUCUUUUCAUGAAGAAUGCCAUCUGAAAAAAAAAAAAAAGGCUUUUAAGAAGCCCUUAUCAGUCCUUUAGGGAAAUAACUGUAAAGCUGUUGUGUGGAUAGCAGUGGAGUACUCAAGUUUUUCUCAAAAUAUUGUACCAUAAAACGCACACAUCAAUUUUAGUGUCAAACAAAGGAUGUUCUGGACAGCACACCAGAAAAAUGUAAGAAAAGCAAAGCAUAUGCUCUUGGCUGCUUGCAGACAUAAGUAACUGUGGCCUGUGUUCCAGAAAGAUAUUUUAUUUAGGCAAAAAUACAUAGCACAGUGUGGAGAGAAAGCACUCAGGUCAGGGUGGCUCUAGCUUUCAGCCUGCUCUGGGACAAGAACUACUCAGCGUCCUGCACUGACUGCAAAGAUGUGGAACACACACUGCCUCUCAUUCAGGUAUGAGACAGGCAGGAUCUUUGCAUGACAAGUGGGGGCUCAGGCACCAAAGUUACCAGGGUGUAAGAAGUUGCUAUGGCUCUGCUGAGGUGCAGCAAGUUGUCUGUGCGAGCAGCUUAGCUUGCAGCAAGUGCCAGACAAUGGGAAUGAACUCAGCCCACAAGAAAAAAGGCUUAGCCUAAGAUAAAUUGACAGGAAAGUCAAGUUGCUGAACAUAUGAAGGUGCUGAUAUGUGACAAGUGCAAGCAUUUCUUUCCUUUUACCUAACUUGAAAUAAAAAGUUCAUAUAUGUUUCAUUUUAAGACACUUUUUUCCCCCUGAAGUCCAGUAGUACUUCAUAUGAAGGCCUAACAUAAAUGGGCAGUCAUCCUACCACAAGAAAAACACAUUGCAGUAAUCAUUUCUCUUUUCUUCCACCCUCGUUAGCUAUUAUUCACAACCUUCUGAAAACAAAACUCAGCACUUCUUUCAUGUUAAAGUUUGUGUUGCUCCACUUUCACAGCUGGUAAAAGAUCUAAAAUGGAUCUAAGAGGUUGUUUACUGUGAAUGUAGGUCAGGAUGCAUGUUGUAGGUGUGUCUAGACCUCAGAAGGCGUCGAGGAGACAACAGGAGCUAAUGAACUUCCUCAACAGAAGAGAGGCACCUCCACCCCAACCCACAGGGAAAGAACCAACCACCAAGCACAGAGGGAGAGCAUGAGAGCUGGAAGCAGGUCUUAAAGGCAAGCGUCUGGCAUACAGAGGUGUCCAUGCCUUUAGAAAAAGCAGCAGACUGUAUUCAGAGUGACGUCCAGGUACAACCACUGCCACCAAUUCCGUGGCUUCAUGUGAGCUAUUUACAGGGCUGCCCCAGAAAAGCAAUGCAACAGUGGAGGGAGAAGGGAUGUGGGCUGGAGAAGGAACUUUCUUACUAGAGAACCAAAGGAUUUAGUGAACUUUCUUAAUGGAUAUUUGGAGAGGGAGUAUGUGUAGGUAUGAUUCCACAUAUUAAGCCAUGCUUAUGAUCUCUGUAAUCAUUUGUUGGUGAGUUUUGGAGCCACCGUGAGGGCAGAGUAACUUUGAGAACACCUAGAUGUUGGGCAACAAAUGGAAAUGGUUCUUUUAAAAGAUCUUGGAGUGGGAAGGAGAGAAAAUACAAGAUCAAAAGAAGUGUUCCAGAAAGAUCACAGCUGUUGUUCUGCACCAGACAAACUGUUUGCACAGAACAUUAGCAAUUGUGCAGAGGCAACAAGCAGGGCUGUGGUUUUAUGGCUGAUGAAGGGAGAUGCUUUGCAUGAUGGCUCAGUAGCUGUUAACAGUCUGGGAGAUGGAAUUGCUGGCGUUGUUAUAUGUGAGCAGGGAUCUACCCAGGAAAAGAGCCUCCUUCCGUAGAUACCACUGUAUACCAGAAGUCUUGUAAGGAUAACAAAUUGCUUCCAUGGCUCCGUGAAGUGAAAAAUACUCCUUUUCUAUAGCUGUUCACGCUCUGUUCUCUCUGUAGAGCUUGUUUUAGGCUAAAGAUGAAAUCAAGGCAAAACUUACUGAAGAAUGAAAAGCUGCGCUCAAAGCUAUCAUAAUUAAAAGAUGUGGUAUGUUACAUUAUGCAGUCAACAGGAGGAGGCAGUAAAUAAAAUGCAGAUUCUGAAAGAGUGGUAGCCUGGUUUGUAAGGCAGUUCUAUAUGUAGAAAGGGAAAGCAAGAAGAAACCUGUUUUCCCUGAUGCUGCAUGAUAAUUCCAAUUGCAUACUUACUCUUCUUCUCAUUUAAGUGCUUUAAUAUACAUUUAUUUCUCAUAAGCAAAGGAAGAGAGAAUUGGCAGAAAUGAUAUGUGUCUAUCCUAGAAAAGGAGAACACAACAGAUAAUACAGUGUCCUCACAUGAAAAGCCUGCGGUUGGUAGAAGUUAUUUUUCAUGACCAUUCAUACAAAAACUUUCAAAGUGUUUCUGUGGCUUUUUGGGUUUAAAGGGACGCAACACAUAAGAAAAAUGAAAUUUCCUUUAACACAGAAAUUCGAGUCUUCCCCAUGCAACACAAAGCAUUUCCAAAGCAAUGUGCUUUAAAUUAAAACCCAAUACAUUUCAGCACAAAAUAUCUUUUCAGGAGAAGUGUUGCCAAGUCCAUCUCCCAAGCAACUUAGCCCCUCAUGAUGCUGUUUUUAUACAGGAAAGGGCUUUUCCUGACUGGUUCUAUUAUUUUGCAUCGGUACCUCCAGGAUGUAUCUUUCCUGCUUCUUUCUAGGCUGAUUAUUCCUGCUUGAACAGGAAUGGAUGUACAUUGGCCAUACAGUGGCAAGCUAUUUGUUAUGCCAAUGUGUAGUUACAUAAACUUCUCAGCAAAUUUUUGAACACCGCUGCCAAAGCCAGGAGCAAAUAUGUUGAUAGUGAAGCAUCCCCAUUACCAAAACAAAAUCUGAAGAAUACUCCACCCUUCCUAUUAUAUACAGCCAUUGUUUAAGAACAUAAACAAUCCUAGCAGCAGAGACCAGGGUACAGAGGAAACACCCAAGCACGCAACCAAAGAGUUGCGUGCCCUCUCUUGUCUAGUGAACAUUUCAAGGCUUUUCCUUGUGCUGUGGAAACCUGAGUAAAGAAGGAAAAUUAACCUGUUUCUAUUAAUUUAUGGGUGAGUUUAUCCAGAUGAUCUGCACCAUCGCUUCUCAUAAAGCCCAUUUUUUUAGAGUGAGUUGGGCUGUUCUAAAACAGCCCUUUGACCCUUCUGGAGAUGUAGGCAGCAAAGCAUCUGCAUGUGGUAUAAACCACUCAGUCUGUGGCAGUUAUAGCUCUCCAAGCAGGCAGGGAGAACCGAGGGAAAUUUCAGUCAAAAGUCUGAGGAAUUUAGACAGGCAUCUUUAGAUUCAUAGCUUUGGGCAUGUGUUCCUAAAUUCCCAGCCUCACCCCAGAGAAGACCACCUCCCUUCGUGAAGACCACCCAAAUUUUAGCAGUGUCUUUUGCUCUCUCCAGCCUGUGAAAGUACCUCCCCCUUUGCCCCAUCUAUAAGCAUGAAAUUUACUUUACCAACUUUUAGACUGAUUUGGCCAAAACAACAACAACAACAAGACAAGUUAUUUUUGAAGAGAAAAAUAAUGUUUACCUUCUUGAGCAAGGAGGUCAAAUGAAGAACACAACAGCUGAGCUCUGGAGCACCUUCCUGUGUAUACUCUAUUUUAAAUUUCUUCCACUUUCUUGUGGGAAAAUUCAGUCUCUAGCCAAUUGUUGAUAAAGGCUGCACGUUGUAAUUUCAUGCAAAUGUCAUCCUUCAGUUUCCUGCAGAAGACCAGGAAACCUAUAUCUAGCAAUGUGCUAACAGCAUUUCGCUCAAAGCUGCCCAACUAGUUUGACAGGAGGCAUCCUGGCAACAUCUCCUGACUGCAAAGCCAAGUCGCCCUUAGCUGGAGAACAGCAUUAACACUGGAGAUCCAUGGCUGUGGUGCUGUGUGUAGUUCCUUUUGAAUUUGGUGGUGUCAGGACUUGAACACUGGGGUGUGCAGGGUUCUUGCUAGGAUUUAGAGAUCCCUUGUUUGGGGCUGAGCUUGCUUGCAGAAAUAGAGCAAAUGAAUAGGAAAUGCAUGUGCUUUAUGUUGCCUACAGGUAGUAGGCACGCAUUCAGGUACAGAGCCAGCUUUCUGUGAGUGGAAGGAUUUUAAUUAGAGAGAGGAAGAAGUAUUUCCUUGAUCUGUAACAGGAAUCCCCACCCAGGGGGUAUUCUUUUAAAUCACUGGAGCUAAGAAUAGGAGUCCAAGAGAGGCUGAUCACAUGGGGUUAUGUCCCCAACAUGCAGUGAGAUGCAAAGAAAGAGAUGGGAAGCACAAAUCUGCACACAGUAUCAGAUCUCCUCAGUAAUAUUUUCCUUCUUUUCACUUUUUUUCUGUUCCAUUUGGAUUCGCUUUGUUGUUUGCUUUUCCUUUCUGCAUAUUUCUUCAGACUUCUUAGUCAUUUGUUCCUGCCUCUUUAUCUUUUUCUUUCUUUCUGCCUAUUGCCUUUCCCAUUCCAUUCUCCAUUUUUUCUUCUGCUGCUUUUGUGAGUCCUAGCCACUUUUCAGUGCCAUUUUUGAAUACCUUUCACUGCUUUCGUUCUUCCAAACUCUGUGCUUUCUCCCUCCCUUUUACACUGACGUCGUUCCUCCACUCAUUUCUUUGAUUUGCUCUCUAUAUCUCCUUAGAGCUUCUUUGCAAUCUGUUUCACUGCUUUGCCUCAGAACAUUAUACCGUAUGUGCAAAUUCUGACCCUUCUAAGGCCGUUAGGAUGGAAUCAUAGAAUUGUAGAGGUUGGAAGGGACCUCUGGAGAUUACUGAGUUCAACUCACUCCUACAGAAGCUCCCUAGAGUAGGUUGCACAGGAAAGCAUCCAGGCAGGUUUUGAAUAUUUCCAGAGAAGGAGACUCCACAACCUCUCCGGGCAGCCUGUUCCAGUCCUCUGUUACCCUCAAAGUAGAGAAGUACUUCCUCUUGUUGGUGUUGAAUUUUCGCCCAUUUCCUGUCACAGGAUACCAAAAGGAGCCUGGCCCUAUUCACUUGGCUUCUGCCCUUUAAGUAUUUGUAAUCACUGAUAUGAUCCCCCUUCAGCCUUAUCUUCUCCAGUCUGGAAAACCCAAGGUUUCUCAGUCUUUUCUCACAAGGGAGAUGCUACAGGACCCCAGGCAUCUUUGUGGCCCUCUGCUGGACUCUCUCUCCAGUAGCUCCCUGACUUUUUUGAACUGAGGAGCCCAGAAAUGGAC